UUAAAAAGCUCGUAGUUGAAUUUCGGAAUUUGUCGGUUGGUCGGGCUUCACUGUCCGCACUGGCCUGAUGGGUUCCUACCUUCUGAAUAACCAGCAUGCUAUUAAUUUAGUGCGUUGGGGAAGCAGAGCUAUUACCUUGAAAAAAUUAGAGUGCUUAAAGCAGGCUCACGCUUGAAUAGAUUAGCAUGGAAUAAUAAAAUAGGACGGCCUGGUUCUAUUUUGUUGGUUUCUAGGAUCACCGUAAUGAUUAAUAGGGAUAGUUGGGGG
This 267-nucleotide ribosomal RNA is filed under the name uncultured Glomeromycotina. Its description in RNAcentral is "partial 18S ribosomal RNA". It matches the Rfam family "Eukaryotic small subunit ribosomal RNA", at positions 619 to 888 of the family's 1831-position model. The record is from RNAcentral. Lineage: Eukaryota; Fungi; Glomeromycota.